CGGACGGGAUCAUCGGAGAGCUUGCUCGAAGAUGGUGAGAGUGGCGCACGGGUGCGUAACGCGUGAGCAACCUUACCUCUAUCAGGGGGAUAGCCUCUCGAAAGAGAGAUUAACACCGCAUAACAUCAACAGUUCGCAUGUUCGGUUGAUUAAAUAUUUAUAGGAUAGAGAUGGGCUCGCGUGACAUUAGCUAGUUGGUAGGGUAACGGCCUACCAAGGCGACGAUGUCUAGGGGCUCUGAGAGGAGAAUCCCCCACACUGGUACUGAGACACGGACCAGACUCCUACGGGAGGCAGCAGUAAGGAAUAUUGGUCAAUGGGCGGAAGCCUGAACCAGCCAUGCCGCGUGCAGGAUGACUGCCCUAUGGGUUGUAAACUGCUUUUGUCCAGGAAUAAACCUAAAUACGUGUAUUUAGCUGAAUGUACUGGAAGAAUAAGGAUCGGCUAACUCCGUGCCAGCAGCCGCGGUAAUACGGAGGAUCCGAGCGUUAUCCGGAUUUAUUGGGUUUAAAGGGUGCGUAGGCGGCCUAUUAAGUCAGGGGUGAACAUACGGUGGCUCAACCAUCGCAGUGCCUUUGAUACUGAUGGGCUUGAAUCCAUUUGAAGUGGGCGGAAUAAGACAAGUAGCGGUGAAAUGCAUAGAUAUGUCUUAGAACUCCGAUUGCGAAGGCAGCUCACUAAGCUGGUAUUGACGCUUAUGCACGAAAGCGUGGGGAUCGAACAGGAUUAGAUACCCUGGUAGUCCACGCCCUAAACGAUGAUAACUCGAUGUUGGCGAUAGACAGCCAGCGUCCCAGCGAAAGCGUUAAGUAUCCC
RNAcentral lists this ribosomal RNA (816 nucleotides) under Sphingobacterium sp. C7. Its description in RNAcentral is "bacterial SSU rRNA". It matches the Rfam family "Bacterial small subunit ribosomal RNA", at positions 63 to 870 of the family's 1533-position model. Lineage: Bacteria; Pseudomonadati; Bacteroidota; Sphingobacteriia; Sphingobacteriales; Sphingobacteriaceae. The record is from RNAcentral.